GACGAACGCUGGCGGCGUGCCUAAUACAUGCAAGUAGAACGCUGAAGGAGGAGCUUGCUCUUCUGGAUGAGUUGCGAACGGGUGAGUAACGCGUAGGUAACCUGCCUGGUAGCGGGGGAUAACUAUUGGAAACGAUAGCUAAUACCGCAUAACAGUAGAUGUUGCAUGACAUUUGCUUAAAAGUUGCAAUUGCAUCACUACCAGAUGGACCUGCGUUGUAUUAGCUUGUUGGUGGGGUAACGGCGCACCAAGGCGACGAUACAUAGCCGACCUGAGAGGGUGGUCGGCCAGACUGGGACGGAGACAGGGCCCAGACGCCUACGGGAGGCAGCAGUAGGGAAUCUUCGGCAAUGGACGGAAGACUGACCGAGAAACGCCGCGUGAGUGAAGAAGGUUGUCGGAUCGUAAAGCUCGGUUGUAAGAGAAGAACGAGUGUGCGAGUGGAAAGUUCACACUGUGACGGUAUCUUACCAGAAAGGGACGGCUAACUACGUG
This 495-nucleotide ribosomal RNA is filed under the name uncultured bacterium. RNAcentral's name for it is "partial 16S ribosomal RNA". It matches the Rfam family "Bacterial small subunit ribosomal RNA", at positions 28 to 507 of the family's 1533-position model. The record is from RNAcentral.